RNAcentral lists this ribosomal RNA (1203 nucleotides) under uncultured bacterium. RNAcentral describes it as "partial 16S ribosomal RNA". It matches the Rfam family "Bacterial small subunit ribosomal RNA", at positions 222 to 1440 of the family's 1533-position model. The record is from RNAcentral.
AAGAUGAGCCCGCAUUUGAUUAGUUAGUUGGUGAGGUAAUGGCUCACCAAGACAAUGAUCAAUAGCUGAUCUGAGAGGAUGAUCAGCCACACUGGGACUGAGACACGGCCCAGACUCCUACGGGAGGCAGCAGUAGGGAAUAUUGGGCAAUGGGCGCAAGCCUGACCCAGCGACGCCGCGUGAGGGAUGAAGGUCUUCGGAUUGUAAACCUCUUUCAGUAGGGAAGAAGCGAAAGUGACGGUACCUAAAGAAGAAGCACCGGCUAACUAUGUGCCAGCAGCCGCGGUAAUACAUAGGGUGCAAGCGUUGUCCGGAAUUAUUGGGCGUAAAGAGCUCGUAGGUCGUUUGUCGCGUCGAUUGUGAAAAUCUGAGGCUCAACCUCAGACCUGCAGUCGAUACGGGCAAACUAGAGUGUGGUAGGGGAGACUGGAAUUCCUGGUGUAGCGGUGGAAUGCGCAGAUAUCAGGAGGAACACCAAUGGCGAAGGCAGGUCUCUGGGCCAUAACUGACACUGAGGAGCGAAAGCGCGGGGAGCGAACAGGAUUAGAUACCCUGGUAGUCCGCGCCGUAAACGAUGGGCACUAGCUGUGAGAACCUUCCACGGUUUUCGCGACGCAGCAAACGCAUUAAGUGCCCCGCCUGGGGAGUACGAUCGCAAGAUUAAAACUCAAAGGAAUUGACGGGGCCCCGCACAAGCAGCGGAGCAUGCGGCUUAAUUCGACGCAACGCGAAGAACCUUACCAAGGCUUGACAUAUAGCGAAAAGUGGCAGAGAUGUCAUGUCCGCAAGGGCGCUAUACAGGUGGUGCAUGGUUGUCGUCAGCUCGUGUCGUGAGAUGUUGGGUUAAGUCCCGCAACGAGCGCAACCCUCGUUCUGUGUUACCAGCAUUUAGUUGGGGACUCACAGGAGACUGCCGGGGUCAACUCGGAGGAAGGUGGGGAUGACGUCAAAUCAUCAUGCCCCUUAUGUCUUGGGCUGCACGCAUGCUACAAUGGCCGGUACAAAGUGCUGCGAGAUCGUAAGAUUGAGCGAAUCACAUAAAGCCGGUCUCAGUUCGGAUUGAGGUCUGCAACUCGACCUCAUGAAGUCGGAGUUGCUAGUAAUCGUAGAUCAGCAACGCUACGGUGAAUACGUUCCCGGGGCUUGUACACACCGCCCGUCACGUCACGAAAGUCGGUAACACCCAAAGUUAGUGGCCCAACC